RNAcentral lists this ribosomal RNA (496 nucleotides) under uncultured bacterium. Its description in RNAcentral is "partial 16S ribosomal RNA". It matches the Rfam family "Bacterial small subunit ribosomal RNA", at positions 29 to 507 of the family's 1533-position model. The record is from RNAcentral.
AUGAACGCUGGCGGCGUGCCUAAUCCAUGCAAGUCGAGCGAACGGACGAGAAGCUUGCUUCUCUGAUGUUAGCGGCGGACGGGCGAGUAACACGUGGAUAACCUACCUAUAAGACUGGGAUAACUUCGGGAAACCGGAGCUAAUACCGGAUAAUAUUUUGAACCGCAUGGUUCAAAAGUGAAAGGCGGUCUUGCUGUCACUUAUAGAUGGAUCCGCGCUGCAUUAGCUAGUUGGUAAGGUAACGGCUUACCAAGGCAACGAUGCAUAGCCGACCUGAGAGGGUGAUCGGCCACACUGGAACUGAGACACGGUCCAGACUCCUACGGGAGGCAGCAGUAGGGAAUCUUCCGCAAUGGGCGAAAGCCUGACGGAGCAACGCCGCGUGAGUGAUGAAGGUCCUCGGAUCGUAAAACUCUGUUAUUAGGGAAGAACAUAUGUGUAAGUAACUGUGCACAUCUUGACGGUACCUAAUCAGAAAGCCACGGCUAACUACGUG